RNAcentral lists this transfer RNA (72 nucleotides) under Planctomycetota bacterium. RNAcentral's name for it is "Planctomycetes bacterium (marine metagenome) tRNA-Lys". It matches the Rfam family "tRNA". From Rfam's summary of the family: Transfer RNA (tRNA) molecules are approximately 80 nucleotides in length. Their secondary structure includes four short double-helical elements and three loops (D, anti-codon, and T loops). The record is from RNAcentral. Lineage: Bacteria; Pseudomonadati; Planctomycetota.
GGGGUUGUGGUGUAGUGGUCGCACAGCGGUCUUUUAAACCGCACGGCGUGGGUUCGAAUCCCUCCGGCCCCA